AUGACCCUGCACUCUUUCUUACCCAGCUGUCAGUUGCACGCUGAGAGAGAAAAGGCCCUGCAAAGUAAUGGAUCCCUGUGCUGGAAGAUGCCGGCAACUCAAGGUAGGUCCACAAACGGAGAGGAAAUUUUUCCUGGAAUCUUGAAAGGAGGAACUUACCCUAGAUUAUCCAGGUGGCCUCUAAAUGCAAGUAUGUGUAUCCUUGUAAGAGAGAGGCAGAGGAAGAUUGGGACAGACCACACACACAGAGGUGAAGGCCAUGUGAAGAUGCAGCAGAAAGAGAUGCAGCCACAAACCAGGAAAUGCCAACAGCCACCAGAAGGUAGAAGAGGCCAGGAACAGGUUCUCCUCUAGAGCUUCAAGAGGGAGUACAUCCCUGAGAUUGCUGGCCUCCAGAGCUGUAAUGGAAUAAAUUUCUAUUAUUUUAAGUCACUGAGUUUGUGUUAGUUUGUUACAGCACCUAUAGGAAACUAAUGUGGUAUUUUACAAUUCUAAAAAUAAACUCAGGAGCUGUGAUGUAAUGACAGCAGGCACAUAAAUAACCUAAGUCUUCAAGUGAUGGCGAAUUCAGAGUGAUAUGGCUGUAACACAUACAGUGUCACCUUAGACUUCCUUAAUAGAAGAUGAGAAUACAGAACAAGGAAGUCAGUGUCCUGCUUUUCUCUACAUUGUUCAGACAAUAAUAUGCCCAGCUCUCUGUGCUACAGCUUUAAAAGGCAUUGACAUAUUGAAGUAUGUUUAAAGAAAAGAAAAUAUCACAAGGAGAAUGAAAUCAUGCAUAUGACAAAGAGUUGAAGAAAAGAAGUAGAGGUGUCUAGUGCUUAUUCUGAAAAAAACUUUGAAGCACAGAAUAUGGCAGCUGCCCUCAAACUACUCAGAAACCUGUCUUGUGGAAGAGGGAAAAGAUGAUCUCAUUCUCUUUGGCUCUAAAAUCAGGACCUAAAUUUAAGGAGAAGUUACAUCGAGGCCAGUUUAGGCUCCAAAGCCUCAAAUUUUGAUUGAUCUGCCUCAGUGGUGCUAGAUUGUCUGGAAUCUGAGGGGUUCACAAGUUGAAAUGAUUGCCUACUAGGGGAUAUUGUCUGAAAGAUUCAUGCAUAAGUUGGACGAGGAUGCCCCAGGGGACCAUUCAAAUAUGAUUUUGUAAUUCUACUGUUAUUGGUAGCAGAGGAGUAGGUCAAGUUUCUAUCCCACAACAUUGGAAGAUUUGUUCCUUUAUUGCUUAACCUCCUCCUCUUUUCCAGAACCACCCCCGCCCCUGCCAAAAAAAAACACACACAGCUUCUUUUACCCUUACUGAUAGUGUUAUUAUACAACAUUAAAGCACUCUUGACUUUCUGUGAACAGUGAAAAUUCUUUGUGACUUCCCUAGUUGCAGAGUCUAGUAUAAAAAACCAGCCCUGAAUCUAGGCUUGACUACUUAUAAGCAGAACUAGAUAAUGGCAGCCUACAUUCUAUUUUCCUACUGAAGUAUCCACUGACACAAACCCACACUCCCUUUUCUAAAAUGGUGAACUCUUCAACCUAUCCGUCUUUCCUAAGUAUUUUUGAACUUCGUUUUGUAAAGCUUGCUGAUCCUCUCCAUAUGAAUAAGAUAAAGUUGGCAGGAAUUGAACUUAGGCCUAUUUGUUUCUAACCUCUAAUUAAAUGCUAAUCCUACCCUCCAGAGAGCGGUGUCCUCAGCCAACUUACAGUGUACUUUCUCUUCCCUUUCACAUGUUCUCUAACCAACUAGAUAAACAAGACGGGACCCGGGGAACAACUCCAAAUCCUCCUCUUUGGCUGUGCUUAUCAAAGAGGAAAGCAGCGUGGAAUUCAAAGAACCAAUUAUUUGAGAGCUGCAAUAUCAAACUACUGUUUUUUUUCUAAUAUUGUAACUGCUUUUGAAAUUGCAGAGUAGUCCUUAUCUCCUCCCAAGCAGGAAGUGCUUCAUCAAUUACCAUCUUCUGGGCAUGACCCAUUAUGCCCAAGGCUCUAAACCAUGAAAGGAGAAAUCAAAUCAAAUCAAAUCUUGUUAGUGGUUUUUAAGUAUUCCAUAGGAGACCCCAAUUCUAAUAUGAGUGCCCCUUUUUAGAAAGAGAGCCUUGGAAGGUAUCAUUAAUAUGUAUCAUCAUUCCCUACCCUUUGGGU
This is a long non-coding RNA of Macaca mulatta (Rhesus monkey), 2127 nucleotides long. Lineage: Eukaryota; Metazoa; Chordata; Mammalia; Primates; Cercopithecidae. The record is from Ensembl.